AGGAAGGUGGGGAUGACGUCAAGUCCUCAUGGCCCUUAUAGGUGGGGCUACACACGUCAUACAAUGGAUGGUACAAAGGGUUCGCCAACCCGCGAGGGGGAGCCAAUCCCAUAAAGCCAGUCGUAGUCCGGAUCGUAGUCUGCAACUCGACUACGUGAAGUCGGAAUCGCUAGUAAUCGUGGAUCAGAAUGUCACGGUGAAUACGUUCCCGGGUCUU
This 217-nucleotide ribosomal RNA is filed under the name uncultured Rhodoferax sp. RNAcentral's name for it is "partial 16S ribosomal RNA". It matches the Rfam family "Bacterial small subunit ribosomal RNA", at positions 1167 to 1382 of the family's 1533-position model. Lineage: Bacteria; Pseudomonadati; Pseudomonadota; Betaproteobacteria; Burkholderiales; Comamonadaceae. The record is from RNAcentral.